CAGUCGCCGCGGGAAUACGGAGGGUGCGAGCGUUAAUCGGAAUAACUGGGCGUAAAGGGCACGCAGGCGGACUUUUAAGUGAGGUGUGAAAUCCCCGGGCUUAACCUGGGAAUUGCAUUUCAGACUGGGGGUCUAGAGUACUUUAGGGAGGGGUAGAAUUCCACGUGUAGCGGUGAAAUGCGUAGAGAUGUGGAGGAAUACCGAAGGCGAAGGCAGCCCCUUGGGAAUGUACUGACGCUCAUGUGCGAAAGCGUGGGGAGCAAACAGGAUUAGAUACCCGUGUAGUCCCUGUCUCUUAUAC
This 301-nucleotide ribosomal RNA is filed under the name uncultured bacterium. Its description in RNAcentral is "partial 16S ribosomal RNA". It matches the Rfam family "Bacterial small subunit ribosomal RNA", at positions 509 to 807 of the family's 1533-position model. The record is from RNAcentral.